CCAAUAGCGUAUAUUAAAGUUGUUGCAGUUAAAAAGUUCGUAGUUGAACUUCGGGGUUUACCCAUUGGUCAGGCUUAAUUGUCUGUACUGGUGAGAUAAAUCUCUACCUUCUGAGGAACUUUCAUGUCAUUAAUUUGGUGUGAUUGGAAAUCAGGACUGUUACUUUGAAAAAAUUAGAGUGUUUAAAGCAGGCUAACGUCUGAAUACAUUAGCAUGGAAUAAUGAAAUAGGACGGACUGAUUCUAUUUCGUUGGUUUCUAGGAUCACCGUAAUGAUUAAUAGGGAUAGUUGGGGGCAUUAGUAUUCAAUUGUCAGAGGUGAAAUUCUUGGAUUUAUUGAAGACUAACUACUGCGAAAGCAUUUGCCAAGGAUGUUUUCAUUAAUCAAGAACGAAAGUUAGGGGAUCGAAGACGAUCAGAUACCGUCGUAGUCUUAACCAUAAACUAUGCCGACUAGGGAUCGGACGAAGUUAAUUUUUUAAUGACGCGUUCGGCACCUUACG
RNAcentral lists this ribosomal RNA (502 nucleotides) under uncultured Glomeromycotina. RNAcentral describes it as "partial small subunit ribosomal RNA". It matches the Rfam family "Eukaryotic small subunit ribosomal RNA", at positions 591 to 1092 of the family's 1831-position model. The record is from RNAcentral. Lineage: Eukaryota; Fungi; Glomeromycota.